Molecule: non-coding RNA, 24 nt
Filed under: Arabidopsis thaliana (thale cress)
Lineage: Eukaryota; Viridiplantae; Streptophyta; Magnoliopsida; Brassicales; Brassicaceae
Source: RNAcentral
UGCAACACACACUUCCUGAGCCCU